RNAcentral lists this ribosomal RNA (292 nucleotides) under uncultured bacterium. RNAcentral's name for it is "partial 16S ribosomal RNA". It matches the Rfam family "Bacterial small subunit ribosomal RNA", at positions 505 to 796 of the family's 1533-position model. The record is from RNAcentral.
GUGUCAGCAGCCGCGGUAAGACAGAGGCCCCGAGCGUUAGGCGGAAUCACUGGGCUUAAAGCGUGUGUAGGCGGACCCCUAAGUGUCUUGUGAAAUCCCACGGCUCACCCGUGGAACUGCUGGGCAUACUGGGGGUCUUGGGCCGUCCAGGGGCAGCCGGAACAAGCGGUGGAGCGGUGAAAUGCGUAGAUAUCGCUUGGAACGCCGAAGGCGAAAGCAGGCUGCUGGGGACGCGCCGACGCUGAGACACGAAAGCCAGGGGAGCAAACGGGAUUAGAUACCCCUGUAGUCC